GCCACAUCAUGAUGAAACACCAGUUCUCGUAAAAUCACUGAAGUUAAGCAACAUUGAACCCGGUCAGUACCUAUAUGGUUGAUCGUUUGGGAUUACCAGGUGCUGUAAG
This is a non-coding RNA of Acanthosepion pharaonis, 109 nucleotides long. The record is from the annotation of a GenBank genome assembly. NCBI's taxonomy places the organism in Eukaryota, Metazoa, Mollusca, Cephalopoda, Sepiida, Sepiidae.